GGAGUCGGCCGGAUGAUCGCGGCCCUUAUAUAUUAAGGGUGGAGGAAAGUCCGGGCUCCGGAGGGCUGGGUGCCAGGUAACGCCUGGGAGGCGCGAGCCUACGGAAAGUGCAGCAGAAAGUAUACCGCCUAAGUCCGCAAGGGCCGGUAAGGGUGAAAUGGUGCGGUAAGAGCGCACCGCGUCACCGGUAACGGUGGCGGCACGGUAAACCCCACCCGGAGCAAGACCAAAUAGGGAAGCAGGCGGCUCGUCCGCAACGUGUGGCCCACGCGGCUUCCGGGUAGGUUGCUUGAGGCGCACGGUGACGUGUUCCCAGAUGAAUGAUCAUCCUCGACAGAACCCGGCUUACAGGCCGACUCCCAAC
This 364-nucleotide RNase P RNA is filed under the name Solemya elarraichensis gill symbiont. RNAcentral's name for it is "Bacterial RNase P class A". It matches the Rfam family "Bacterial RNase P class A". From Rfam's summary of the family: Ribonuclease P (RNase P) is a ubiquitous endoribonuclease, found in archaea, bacteria and eukarya as well as chloroplasts and mitochondria. Its best characterised activity is the generation of mature 5'-ends of tRNAs by cleaving the 5'-leader elements of precursor-tRNAs. The record is from Rfam by way of RNAcentral. Lineage: Bacteria; Pseudomonadati; Pseudomonadota; Gammaproteobacteria.